Molecule: ribosomal RNA, 309 nt
Filed under: uncultured eukaryote
Lineage: Eukaryota
Description: partial 18S ribosomal RNA
Rfam family: Eukaryotic small subunit ribosomal RNA
Source: RNAcentral
CCCUUAGAUGUUCUGGGCUGCACGCGUGCUACACUGAUUAUUUCAACAAGUGUUUUAACUGGAGAGUUUGCGUAAUCCUGAAAUGUUAUCGUGAUGGGAGUAGAGUAUUGUAUUUGUUAAUCUUUAACGAGGAAUUCCUAGUAAGUGUAGGUUUAUAAGUUGUUCUGAUUACGUCCCUGCCCUUUGUACACACCGCCCGUCGCUCCUACCGAUUGAUUGAUCCGUGAAUUACAUAGAAUUUUGCGUUUUACAUGACGGAAGAUGAAGUGUUUUAAACCUUAUCAUUUAGAGGAAGGAGAAGGCGUAACA